UGGGCUACUGAGUUGUGGAGGGGAACUCUGUCUACAGCAUUGUAUUCAAGAAGCGGUUGCACAAAGUAGCUUCAUGUCUAUGUUCCUAACCUUGGGGAUAAAAGGAAAAAUGUUCUUUCUGGACAGCGUGAAUCAUUCUGAGAUCAAGGAUACAGUGUCUAUGAUAAAGUUUUGAGACAGGCUCUCGCUAUGUGACCCAGGCUUCAAGCAGCUUUGAGAUUACUGUGAUCCUCUUGAUUCAGCCUCCUGCAUUCUGGAAUUACAUGGAUGUUUGGAGGAAGGACUGAGCAAGUAGAGCCUGAGGCUGUUGUCCUGAAGAUACAGGUGAAAGAGAUUUUAUCAGACUCUUGUCAAGAAAAACUUAAAGAACACUUCCACCAACAUUUCUGAAGACUGAGAAUAAGAAAUGUUAAAGGAAUUCUUUCAGACAAAAGGAAUAUGAUGCCAGAUGGAAAUCUAGACCUAAACAAGCUAAUCUAGACCUAAUGAAAAACCGUGGAAAAGGCAAAAAUGUGAGUAAAUAUAAACCUUUGAAAAUAUCUGUCACGUCACUAAUAUGUCAGGAAAGGCAAAUCAAAACCACAAUGACAUUCCACUUUCCCAUCCAUUAGGGUGGCUAUUCUCAAAGCAAAAAAAGAAAAUAAUGAGUGUUGGUGAAUAUGGGAAGAAACUGGAUUUGCACUGUGGGUGGAAAUGUAAAAUGUCAGAGCCACCUUGGAAAACAAGAUGAUGGUUCCUUAAAAACUUAUACACACCUGCACUCCCAACCACUCAGGAGGCUUAGGCAGGAGGAUCACUUCAGUCCAUGAGUUUGAGACUGGCCUGGUCAACAUAGCAAAGUCAUAUCUCAAAAAAAAACAUAAAAUUACAAUAUGAUUCAGCAAUUCCACUUCUGGGGAUAUACCCCAAAAUAUGAAAAACAGGGACUCAGGUAUUUGUUCACCAUGUUCAUAGCAGCAUGAUUCCCAGUAGCCAAAAGGUAGAAAUGAUACAAAUUUCCACAAAGUAUGGUAUUUACAUAUAAUGGAGUAUUAUUCAGUCUUUAAAAAGGAACAUAAUUCUGACACAUCUACAACAUAUUACAACAUUGAUGAACCUUAAAAGCAUUAUGCUACAUGAAAUAAAAGACAUGAAAGGACAAAUAUUGCAUGAUUCCACUUACAUGAAGUACUUACACAGUCAUAGAGACAACAAACAGAAUGAUGGUUGCUCAGGGUUUGAGGGAAGAGAAAAUGGGAAUUUAUUUUUUUAAAUGUACAGAUUUUUAGUUUUGAAAGAUGAAAAGUUUUGGAGAUAUAUGAUGAUGUAUGUUGCACAAUAGUGUGAAUGAACUUGAUGCUGUACACUUAAAAAUAAACUGGUAAGUUUUGGGGGAUGUUUAUUCCUAUUUAUUUACUUAUCCAAUGACAGAAUCAGCAAUAGGUAAUGGGAGAGUAACCUCAUGUUUAAAAUUCAUUUAACAUUUUGAAAAGCUCAAGACUUUGUUUGAAAGUGCCUCAUUCUUUUAAAUACUUCACGCCAAUGAAAUAGCAGACAAAAAAAUUGUAUUCUCUUGCUUUACUCUUUUUCUUCUUUUUAUUAGUGAUACUGGGGUUUGAACGCAGGGCCUCAAGCACUCUACAACUUGAACCAUGCCUCCUGUCCUAGUAUCUUACUUUUCUUCACGGUCAUAUUGGUAUAUUGUAUAUGUAUG
Non-coding RNA from Castor canadensis (American beaver), 1693 nucleotides. The record is from RefSeq and is a predicted model, not a curated record. Lineage: Eukaryota; Metazoa; Chordata; Mammalia; Rodentia; Castoridae.